GACGAACGCUGGCGGCGUGCUUAACACAUGCAAGUCGAACGGAAAGGCCCUGCUUUUGUGGGGUGCUCGAGUGGCGAACGGGUGAGUAACACGUGAGUAACCUGCCCUUGACUUUGGGAUAACUUCAGGAAACUGGGGCUAAUACCGGAUAGGAGCUCCUGCUGCAUGGUGGGGGUUGGAAAGUUUCGGCGGUUGGGGAUGGACUCGCGGCUUAUCAGCUUGUUGGUGGGGUAGUGGCUUACCAAGGCUUUGACGGGUAGCCGGCCUGAGAGGGUGACCGGCCACAUUGCGACUGAGAUACGGCGCAGACUCCUACGGGAGGCAGCAGUGGGGAAUAUUGCACAGUGGGCGGAAGCCUGAUGCAGCAACGCCGCGUGCGGGAUGACGGCCUUCGGGUUGUAAACCGCUUUCGCCUGUGACGAAGCGUGAGUGACGGUAAUGGGUAAAGAAGCACCGGCUAACUACGUG
RNAcentral lists this ribosomal RNA (468 nucleotides) under uncultured bacterium. RNAcentral describes it as "partial 16S ribosomal RNA". It matches the Rfam family "Bacterial small subunit ribosomal RNA", at positions 28 to 507 of the family's 1533-position model. The record is from RNAcentral.